GACGAACGCUGGCGGCGUGCUUAACACAUGCAAGUCGAACGGAAAGGCCUUUUCGGAGGUACUCGAGUGGCGAACGGGUGAGUAACACGUGGGUGAUCUGCCCUGCACUCUGGGAUAAGCCUGGGAAACUGGGUCUAAUACCGGAUAGGACCGCACUUUAGUGUGUGUGGUGGAAAGUUUUUUCGGUGUAGGAUGAGCCCGCGGCCUAUCAGCUUGUUGGUGGGGUAAUGGCCUACCAAGGCGGCGACGGGUAGCCGCACUGAGAGGUUGGUCGGCCACAUUGGGACUGAGAUACGGCCCAGACUCCUACGGGAGGCAGCAGUGGGGAAUAUUGCACAAUGGGCGCAAGCCUGAUGCAGCGACGCCGCGUGGGGGAUGACGGCCUUCGGGUUGUAAACUCCUUUCGCCAGGGACGAAGCGUUUUGUGACGGUACCUGGAGAAGAAGCACCGGCUAACUACGUG
This 463-nucleotide ribosomal RNA is filed under the name uncultured bacterium. RNAcentral's name for it is "partial 16S ribosomal RNA". It matches the Rfam family "Bacterial small subunit ribosomal RNA", at positions 28 to 507 of the family's 1533-position model. The record is from RNAcentral.